UACGUAGGGUGCAAGCGUUGUCCGGAAUUAUUGGGCGUAAAGAGCUCGUAGGCGGUCUGUCGCGUCGGCUGUGAAAAACCUGGGGCUUAACUCCGGGCCUGCAGCCGAUACGGGCAGACUAGAGUUCGGCAGGGGGAGACUGGAAUUCCGUGGUGUAGCGGUGAAAUGCGCAGAUAUCAGGAGGAACACCGGUGGCGAAGGCGGGGUCUCUGGGGCCGAUACUGACGCUGAGGAGCGAAAAGCGUGGGGAGCAAACAGG
Molecule: ribosomal RNA, 259 nt
Filed under: uncultured bacterium
Lineage: Bacteria
Description: partial 16S ribosomal RNA
Rfam family: Bacterial small subunit ribosomal RNA
Source: RNAcentral